Molecule: ribosomal RNA, 367 nt
Filed under: uncultured Streptococcus sp.
Lineage: Bacteria; Bacillati; Bacillota; Bacilli; Lactobacillales; Streptococcaceae
Description: bacterial SSU rRNA
Rfam family: Bacterial small subunit ribosomal RNA
Source: RNAcentral
GUUACUUCGGUACAUCGGUGACAGGUGGUGCAUGGUUGUCGUCAGCUCGUGUCGUGAGAUGUUGGGUUAAGUCCCGCAACGAGCGCAACCCCUAUUGUUAGUUGCCAUCAUUCAGUUGGGCACUCUAGCGAGACUGCCGGUAAUAAACCGGAGGAAGGUGGGGAUGACGUCAAAUCAUCAUGCCCCUUAUGACCUGGGCUACACACGUGCUACAAUGGCAGGUACAGAGGGCUGCGAAGCCGCGAGGUGGAGCGAAUCCCAGAAAACCUGUCUCAGUCCGGAUUGAAGUCUGCAACUCGACUUCAUGAAGGCGGAAUCGCUAGUAACCGCGAAUCAGCAGGUCGCGGUGAAUACGUUCCCGGGCCUU